UUGGCCAUCCCUAUUUCCACCGUUGCCUCUGAGUCUGCCUUUAGCAACGGAGGACGUGUAUUGGAUACCUUUAGGAGUUCAUUGUCUCCGCUUACCGUUGAGGCCUUGAUUUGCACACAAGACUGGUUGAAGAAUCGCCCAAUGAUCUAUGAGGAAGUGUUUCAGGACUUUAUGGAAAGCUAUGAUGAACCUGAUGGGCCUAAGAAUCAACAUUCUCAUUCAAUGACGACAGACGACUGACACAUCUUAUUCCUAGAGGAAGGAUUUUGCUAGAAGACCGAAUAGGAGUCGUGUUGUUAUUUCCACAAGAUGGUUUUGUUCUUGAGUGUGGACUUAUGGACUAUGGAUAUGGUUUGAUAAUUGAUGGGUGUGGGUGUGUGGACUUUUGGACUAUUUGGA
Long non-coding RNA from Alnus glutinosa, 399 nucleotides. RefSeq lists it as uncharacterized. Lineage: Eukaryota; Viridiplantae; Streptophyta; Magnoliopsida; Fagales; Betulaceae. The transcript has 3 exons. The record is from RefSeq and is a predicted model, not a curated record.